This 84-nucleotide microRNA precursor is filed under the name Poecilia formosa (Amazon molly). RNAcentral describes it as "miRNA (ENSPFOG00000021387.1)". The record is from RNAcentral. Lineage: Eukaryota; Metazoa; Chordata; Actinopteri; Cyprinodontiformes; Poeciliidae.
UAUACGUGUGUGUGCAUGUGUUUGCAUGUGUGUCAUUACUUUUCAUGCAUAGUCAAACACAAAGAUAAUUGUCUCAUGCACACA